GACGAACGCUGGCGGCAGGCUUAACACAUGCAAGUCGAACGGGCGUAGCAAUACGUCAGUGGCAGACGGGUGAGUAACGCGUGGGAACGUACCUUUUGGUUCGGAACAACCCAGGGAAACUUGGGCUAAUACCGGAUAAGCCCUUACGGGGAAAGAUUUAUCGCCGAAAGAUCGGCCCGCGUCUGAUUAGCUAGUUGGUGAGGUAACGGCUCACCAAGGCGACGAUCAGUAGCUGGUCUGAGAGGANGAUCAGCCACAUUGGGACUGAGACACGGCCCAAACUCCUACGGGGAGGCAGCAGUGGGGAAUAUUGGACAAUGGGCGCAAGCCUGAUCCAGCCAUGCCGCGUGAGUGAUGAAGGCCCUAGGGUUGUAAAGCUCUUUCAACGGUGAAGAUAAUGACGGUAACCGUAGAAGAAGCCCCGGCUAACUUCGUGCCAGCCGCCGCAGUAAGACCUGAGACUCCAAGGCACAC
This 474-nucleotide ribosomal RNA is filed under the name uncultured bacterium. RNAcentral's name for it is "bacterial SSU rRNA". It matches the Rfam family "Bacterial small subunit ribosomal RNA", at positions 36 to 538 of the family's 1533-position model. The record is from RNAcentral.